GCUAAUACCGCAUAACAAUGGAUGACACAUGUCAUUUAUUUGAAAGGGGCAAUUGCUCCACUACAAGAUGGACCUGCGUUGUAUUAGCUAGUAGGUGAGGUAAUGGCUCACCUAGGCGACGAUACAUAGCCGACCUGAGAGGGUGAUCGGCCACACUGGGACUGAGACACGGCCCAGACUCCUACGGGAGGCAGCAGUAGGGAAUCUUCGGCAAUGGGGGCAACCCUGACCGAGCAACGCCGCGUGAGUGAAGAAGGUUUUCGGAUCGUAAAGCUCUGUUGUAAGUCAAGAACGGGUGUGAGAGUGGAAAGUUCACACUGUGACGGUAGCUUACCAGAAAGGGACGGCUAACUACGUGCCAGCAGCCGCGGUAAUACGUAGGUCCCGAGCGUUGUCCGGAUUUAUUGGGCGUAAAGCGAGCGCAGGCGGUUUGAUAAGUCUGAAGUUAAAGGCUGUGGCUCAACCAUAGUUCGCUUUGGAAACUGUCAAACUUGAGUGCAGAAGGGGAGAGUGGAAUUCCAUGUGUAGCGGUGAAAUGCGUAGAUAUAUGGAGGAACACCGGUGGCGAAAGCGGCUCUCUGGUCUGUAACUGACGCUGAGGCUCGAAAGCGUGGGGAGCGAACAGGAUUAGAUACCCUGGUAGUCCACGCCGUAAACGAUGAGUGCUAGGUGUUGGAUCCUUUCCGGGAUUCAGUGCCGCAGCUAACGCAUUAAGCACUCCGCCUGGGGAGUACGACCGCAAGGUUGAAACUCAAAGGAAUUGACGGGGGCCCGCACAAGCGGUGGAGCAUGUGGUUUAAUUCGAAGCAACGCGAAGAACCUUACCAGGUCUUGACAUCCCGAUGCUAUUUCUAGAGAUAGAAAGUUACUUCGGUACAUCGGUGACAGGUGGUGCAUGGUUGUCGUCAGCUCGUGUCGUGAGAUGUUGGGUUAAGUCCCGCAACGAGCGCAACCCCUAUUGUUAGUUGCCAUCAUUCAGUUGGGCACUCUAGCGAGACUGCCGGUAAUAAACCGGAGGAAGGUGGGGAUGACGUCAAAUCAUCAUGCCCCUUAUGACCUGGGCUACACACGUGCUACAAUGGUUGGUACAACGAGUUGCGAGUCGGUGACGGCGAGCUAAUCUCUUAAAGCCAAUCUCAGUUCGGAUUGUAGGCUGCAACUCGCCUACAUGAAGUCGGAAUCGCUAGUAAUCGCGGAUCA
RNAcentral lists this ribosomal RNA (1200 nucleotides) under Leuconostoc pseudomesenteroides. RNAcentral describes it as "bacterial SSU rRNA". It matches the Rfam family "Bacterial small subunit ribosomal RNA", at positions 162 to 1351 of the family's 1533-position model. The record is from RNAcentral. Lineage: Bacteria; Bacillati; Bacillota; Bacilli; Lactobacillales; Lactobacillaceae.